Non-coding RNA from Oryza glumipatula, 205 nucleotides. NCBI's taxonomy places the organism in Eukaryota, Viridiplantae, Streptophyta, Magnoliopsida, Poales, Poaceae. The record is from Rfam.
UUCAAGUGCAACCAUGAGUUUCCGUGUCCAACCUUGAUCGUCUGUCUUAUUUGAUUUUUUUUUAUAAUUAGUAUUUUUAUUGUUAUGAGAUGAUAAAACAUGAAUAGGACUUUACGCGUGACUUAUGUUUUAAAUUUUUUUCAAAAAAAAUUUAAAUAAGACGGACGAUCAAAGUUGGGCACGGAAAAUUAUGGCUGCACUUAAA